AUGCUUAGCUCACCGGAGAUAGGGCCACCGUCGGAGAACAAGCCGAUGAUUUCACCACCACCAUUCCCUUCCGCACCACCUCCCCAAGAAACCCCCCAACCUACCACCGCAGAUCCGCUGGAGCCAGCCCAAUCUGAUCACGCCGAGUCGACUCCACCGUCGCAUCCAGGCCUCACCGCGACGUCUCCGGAAGCUUGCGAAUCUACGGUGUCGGCGCCGGCGCAUAUUGACGGAAAAAAGCGAGAGGCGGGCAGGCCGCCUUCGCUCUCCGCCUCACCUGCUCUCGAAGCCACCAAACUGGAGCAGCACGCUUCGCCUUUGCCGCCGCCAGCGGCCGAGGCUUUCCCCGAGGCAGCGACCACGGAGGCAUCGCCUUCUCCCUCGCACCAAAUCGUGGCGGCCUCGGUGGCGGAAACUCCAUCGCCGUCAACCCCAUCUAGUCCUCCAGCUUGGACCGCAGGCGCCCUGUCGGAUGGGUCACUCGCUGAUUCGGCCGCAGUGGUGUCCGAGGAAGCCGGCCGGCUACCCGCUGCGCUCGAAUCGAUGGAUGCCAACCGGCCCACUGCUCCUGCACCGCCGACGCUACCAGUGAAGAGUGAACCAGAGGGGUUGUUGCCACAACAGCAUCGGCGACCACCUUGGCCUACGGUGCUUCCAGGGUGUGAAAAUUUCGAGCACUCACAGCCGCCUUCUCCUCGCCCUCGCCAGGUUGAAGCUGCACAUGGCUUGCCAGAUGCGGCCCAGACCAAUGCAAUUGCAGUGACCUCGGAAGAGCCUGGCGCGCCGUCAGUAUGUAAGAGUGAUUCUGAGGGGUCAUUUGAAGUAGCAAUGCAUAUACCACUUUCUUCCCCAACGGAGGCUGAACCCUGUUCGCCGGACAUGGCGCCUCCCGGGUUUGAGAAAUUUAAAUUUUUAUGGCCGCCACUACCCCCUCCCAACCUGUCAGUCGAAACUGCACACUCAUUGCUAAAUUCGGCUGUGCCGGAGGGGGUGGCUAAUCCACUGCCUGUAUUGGAGACUAUGGACACAAAGGUAGUCGCUGCACGUAACCUGCCACUGCCAUCAUCGGAGAGUGGGGCAGAGGAGCCAUUGUGGCAGCCACUGCUGAGAUCACCUUCUCCCAUCACACAAGCUGAGCCCUGCUCACCAGAUAUGCCACCUCCUGGGUUUGAGAAUUUCAAGUUGUCAUGCAUGCCACUAUCCAAUGAAAACACAUAUGCCUCGUCUGAUGUGAUCGCCACCAAGGCAGUGGCAGUGACACCUGAGGAGGCGGUGUUAUCAGUGCCAACGUUGGAGGCAAUAGAUGUCGAGACAGACAGUGCGUGCAACUUGCUGCCACCAUUGGGGAGCAAGUUGGAAGGGUUAUUGAAACAGCCAUUAUUGAGAUCAACUACUCCAGUUGCAGAGUCUCCUCCUUGUUCACCGGAGAUUGCACCGCCCGGGUUUGAGAGUUUUAGAUUGUCAUGGCAACCAUUAUCCACGCCUCCGUCUGGGACUGCAUAUAUCAUGCCAGAUGCUGCUGUGAUGCCAUUGCCCGUGACAUUGGAGGAAGCAGCUGGAUCACCACCUGCACUGGAGGCAAUGGAUGUGGACAUGAAUGCCAUACAUCCACUAACGGUACCUUUAGAGAGUGGAGUGGAAGGAUCGCUGCAAGAGCCACAGCCAAGACCACCUUCUCCUAUUUCGCAAGAUGUGCCCAGUUCGCCAGAUAUGGCACCUCCAGGGUUUGAGAAUUUUAAGUCAUCACAGCUACUGCUACCAUCUCCAGUCUUCUCACAGACUGCAUUCACCUUACACGAUUCAACCACCACUAUAGCUGAAUAUGUGUCGGAGGAAGCAGCUCAGCUAUCACCUGCAUUAGAAACAAUUGAUGUGAAAAUGGAGACAUCACCGGAGAGUGGAGCAGAGGGGUCAUUACCACAACAAAUGCACUGGCGGCCAUCUCCUAAGGAGAACGGUACUGCUUGUUCACCAGAGAUGGUGCCUUCAGGGCAUGAGAACUUGCAGCCUUUGCCAUAUCCUGCUUUUCUUCCUCAGGCUCAGACCCCAGAUGUGGUUGCCACUGGGGCAGUCAUAGGGGCAUUGGACCAAAUGCAUCAUCCAGCGCCUGUACUGGGGACAAUUGAAGAGGGCACAUCACCCAUUCUGUCACCACCGUUGGAGAGCGGGUCAUUGCCACAGCUAGAGCCACAGAUGAAUUCUGUUACGGCACAUGUUGUGGACACCCCGAUGCAUGUACCUGCCACAGAUUGUGUUGCAGUUAACUCAGAGGGACCAGUUCUGCCACCGCCUGCAUUGCAGGCGAUGGUUACAAACAUGGACAGUGCAACUACAUUGCUCCCGCGAUUUGAGAAUGGAGCAGAGGGGUCAUUGCCCCAGCUAAGGCAGCAGUCAUCUUCUCCAAAUGUUCAGGCCGCACCUUGUUCAUUGGACGCGGUGGAACUUCUGCCACCACCACCACCUCCUUUCAUUAACAAAGAAGUAGGUCAAAUGGUGUGUGGAAGCUGCCGUGAACUUAUUGCUUAUCCUAGAGGUGCUGUUCAUGUACAGUGUGCUGCCUGUCGGACAAUAAACCUAGUAGUGGAAGCACAUGAAGUUGGGAAUGUACACUGGACGAUGUGA
This 2622-nucleotide ribosomal RNA is filed under the name Triticum aestivum (bread wheat). Its description in RNAcentral is "partial small subunit ribosomal RNA". Lineage: Eukaryota; Viridiplantae; Streptophyta; Magnoliopsida; Poales; Poaceae. The record is from RNAcentral.